Syngnathus typhle (broad-nosed pipefish) is the source of this 378-nucleotide long non-coding RNA. RefSeq lists it as uncharacterized. The record is from RefSeq and is a predicted model, not a curated record. The transcript is spliced from 2 exons. Lineage: Eukaryota; Metazoa; Chordata; Actinopteri; Syngnathiformes; Syngnathidae.
UGAAAGGAGGUGCCGCAUUUCGCACCUCCAUGUCAGUUUCGCUUUCUCUCUCUCUCUCACUGUCGCUUGCUGUCACACGAGAGAGCGCAGCCAAGACGGACGGUGCUCAGACCGUGCCCGGGUCAGCGACCUGAUGGGCACCAAAAUCGGUCGUGUGCAUUUCAAGGAGAGACAGCAAGAUGGCGUGGCAGCCGGUGGGCACGCUGUGGAAUUCUCUCCUGAUGGCGGCGUGGAGGGCAUCUGCUGAAAUGAGCGGCCCGUCCACUAGGGAAUCCUCCUCGCUGCGAGUCAUGUCCACCGAAGAGCCUGCCUGCUACAAAACGAUGAUUCCAGAUUAAAUUUAGCUUCUCCCAAACGUACUCGACAAAGGGCUCUCCA